GUGUAGCAGCCGCGGUAAUACGUAGGUGGCAAGCGUUGUCCGGAUUUAUUGGGCGUAAAGCGAACGCAGGCGGGAGAAUAAGUCAGCUGUGAAAGCCCUCAGCUUAACUGGGGAACUGCAGCUGAAACUAUUUUUCUUGAGUGCAGAAGAGGAGAGUGGAACUCCAUGUGUAGCGGUGGAAUGCGUAGAUAUAUGGAAGAACACCAGUGGCGAAGGCGGCUCUCUGGUCUGUAACUGACGCUGAGGUUCGAAAGCAUGGGUAGCGAACAGGAUUAGAUACCCUGGUAGUCCAUGCCGUAAACGAUGAGUGCUAAGUGUUGGGAGGUUUCCGCCUCUCAGUGCUGCAGCUAACGCAUUAAGCACUCCGCCUGGGGAGUACGACCGCAAGGUUAAAACUCAAAUAAAUUGACGG
This 412-nucleotide ribosomal RNA is filed under the name uncultured bacterium. Its description in RNAcentral is "bacterial SSU rRNA". It matches the Rfam family "Bacterial small subunit ribosomal RNA", at positions 505 to 916 of the family's 1533-position model. The record is from RNAcentral.